GACGAACGCUGGCGGCGUGCUUAACACAUGCAAGUCGAACGGUAAGGCCCUUCGGGGUACACGAGUGGCGAACGGGUGAGUAACACGUGGGUGAUCUGCCCCGCACUUCGGGAUAAGCCUGGGAAACUGGGUCUAAUACCGGAUAGGACUCCUGGCUUCAUGGUUGGGGGUGGAAAGCUUUUGCGGUGUGGGAUGGGCCCGCGGCCUAUCAGCUUGUUGGUGGGGUAAUGGCCUACCAAGGCGACGACGGGUAGCCGGCCUGAGAGGGUGACCGGGCACACUGGGACUGGGAUACGGCCCAGACUCCUACGGGAGGCAGCAGUGGGGAAUAUUGCACAAUGGGCGCAAGCCUGAUGCAGCGACGCCGCGUGAGGGAUGACGGCCUUCGGGUUGUAAACCUCUUUCAGCUAUGACGAAGCGCAAGUGACGGUAGUAGCAGAAGAAGGACCGGCCAACUACGUGCCAGCCGCCGCGGUAA
Molecule: ribosomal RNA, 478 nt
Filed under: uncultured bacterium
Lineage: Bacteria
Description: partial 16S ribosomal RNA
Rfam family: Bacterial small subunit ribosomal RNA
Source: RNAcentral